AGUUCCCUGCGUUGUUGGUGAUGGUUUCGGAGUUCGGUUGAGCCAACGCUAUACCCAAGCGAGCCGCGAUGUUUCGUGGUGUGCACGCCUCCGCGUGAGGUAGCCUGAAGCGAAACUGGUUGUAUCUAGAGCGGCUCCACCUGCUUUGAGCAGGUUCAUCCGACCUCCCCACACGGCAAAGCGGGGCUUUU
RNAcentral lists this non-coding RNA (191 nucleotides) under Acidobacteriota bacterium. RNAcentral's name for it is "Acidobacteria bacterium (marine metagenome) 6S RNA". It matches the Rfam family "6S / SsrS RNA". Rfam says of the family: E. coli 6S RNA was the first non coding RNA to be sequenced, but its function was unknown until recently. The record is from RNAcentral. Lineage: Bacteria; Pseudomonadati; Acidobacteriota.